RNAcentral lists this long non-coding RNA (266 nucleotides) under Drosophila guanche. Lineage: Eukaryota; Metazoa; Arthropoda; Insecta; Diptera; Drosophilidae. The record is from RNAcentral.
CUGGAGUAGGAGGAGGAUCAAUCUAAAAGAUAUCGAAGCUGGAACGGGAUUGGAAGCAAAGGUACUUUCUUAUUUGGCAGACGUUUCGUGGCUUAUUCGCGAGAGAGAACAGAGACAAGAUGCCAACGGGGGUGAAAUAACGCAAAAAUUGCUAUCGCAGGUUUUAGAGCUGGACUAUGAAAUCAAUGCACACCUCAAUGAAUCAGAAAGGGAGCGAGAUGAGAUUUUCAAAGCUUACUAUUCGCAAGGCCGGCCUGAGAUUCACA